This 388-nucleotide ribosomal RNA is filed under the name uncultured bacterium. RNAcentral's name for it is "bacterial SSU rRNA". It matches the Rfam family "Bacterial small subunit ribosomal RNA", at positions 97 to 520 of the family's 1533-position model. The record is from RNAcentral.
GGCGGACGGGUGAGUAACGCGUGGGAACGUACCUUUUGGUUCGGAACAACACAGGGAAACUUGUGCUAAUACCGGAUAAGCCCUUACGGGGAAGAUUUAUCGCCGAAAGGAUCGGCCCGCGUCUGAUUAGCUAGUUGGUGAGGUAAUGGCUCACCAAGGCGACGAUCAGUAGCUGGUCUGAGAGGAUGAUCAGCCACAUUGGGACUGAGACACGGCCCAAACUCCUACGGGAGGCAGCAGUGGGGAAUAUUGGACAAUGGGCGCAAGCCUGAUCCAGCCAUGCCGCGUGAGUGAUGAAGGCCCUAGGGUUGUAAAGCUCUUUUGUGCGGGAAGAUAAUGACGGUACCGCAAGAAUAAGCCCCGGCUAACUUCGUGCCAGCAGCCGCGG